CCUACGGGACGCAGCAGUGGGGAAUAUUGGACAAUGGGGGGAAGCCUGAUCCAGCGACGCCGCGUGAGCGAGGAAGUAUUUCGGGAUGUAAAGCCCUAUCGGCAGGGAAGAGGAGAUGACGGUACCUGAAUAAGAAGCAACGGCUAAAUACGUGCCAGCAGCCGCGGUAAUACGUAUGGGGCAAGCGUUAUCCGGAUUUACUGGGCGUAAAGGGAGCGCAGGCGGCUCGCCAAGUCUGAUGUGAAACCCCGGGGCUCAACCCCGGACCUGCAUUUGAAACUGUUGAGCUGGAGUGCCGGAGAGGG
RNAcentral lists this ribosomal RNA (305 nucleotides) under uncultured bacterium. Its description in RNAcentral is "bacterial SSU rRNA". It matches the Rfam family "Bacterial small subunit ribosomal RNA", at positions 338 to 658 of the family's 1533-position model. The record is from RNAcentral.